This 505-nucleotide ribosomal RNA is filed under the name uncultured bacterium. RNAcentral describes it as "partial 16S ribosomal RNA". It matches the Rfam family "Bacterial small subunit ribosomal RNA", at positions 30 to 523 of the family's 1533-position model. The record is from RNAcentral.
AUUUAACGCUGGCGGCAGGCCUAACACAUGCAAGUCGAACGGUAACAGGAAGCAGCUUGCUGCUUUGCUGACGAGUGGCGGACGGGUGAGUAAUGUCUGGGAAACUGCCCGAUGGAGGGGGAUAAAUACUGGAAACGGUAGCUAAUACCGCAUAAUGUCGCAAGCCCAAAGAGGGGGACAGUCGGGCCUCUUGCCAUCGGAUGUGCCCAGAUGGGAUAAGCUUGUUGGUGAGGUCACGGCUCACCAAGGCGACGAGCCCUAGCUGGUCUGAGAGAUGACCAGCCACACUGGAACUGAGACACGGUCCAGACUCCUACGGGAGGCAGCAGUGGGGAAUAUUGCACAAUGGGCGCAAGCCUGAUGCAGCCAUGCCGCGUGUAUGAAGAAGGCCUUCGGGUUGUAAAGUACUUUCAGCGGGGAGGAAGGGGUUAAGGUUAAUAACCUUAGCCAUUGACGUUACCCGCAGAAGAAGCACCGGCUAACUCCGUGCCAGCCGCCGCGGUAA